GCAGAAGACAGAGACCUUGGCUUUCUGCUGCAAAGAGAAGGACUGUUCUAACUGUUAUGGUUUUUUAUUUUUUAGAUCGAUUUCAACAGAAUCUCAACCACGGCAGGAGCCACUGAAGCAGACAGGAGCACUGAGAGAAUGGUAGAGUCGGAGCUCAGCAGGGCCGGGACCACAAACUGGGGCAAACACAUGUCAUGCGACUCGGCAUAAGGCUGAACUGGAAAAUCAACAAAAGGGGAGGCAGCGAUCCACAGACAAAUGCAGAAUUACAGCCCACUCCACCUACUUGUUCGGGGUCUCUCAAUCAAAACAAUAACAGAGGAUCGGGUUUGAUGACGUCAUGAGGCAGCGCGGGAUCAUGGGAACUGUUGUCUUCACCUCCACUGCUGAUGGAAAUCUACCAGAUGUGACUCACACACAAAUCAUGUUCAUGAUGAUAUCUGGAAACGUCUCCAGGAAGAGGAUGAGGCCCACGCCUUUGGCAACAGAGCGCUCUUACUCGCUUCUCACACAUGAAGCCUUAUCUGUUGAUCCAGAAAUGUGUUGUGGGAAAAUGAAUGCACCUGAAAAAAAGGAAACGGUUGAACUGGGAUAAUGAGCCCAGUCACUUCAGAUCUCCAGCAAAGCUUCGGCAGAAUGUGAUUAUCUCCAACACAGCCA
Long non-coding RNA from Hippoglossus stenolepis (Pacific halibut), 660 nucleotides. RefSeq lists it as uncharacterized. The transcript has 4 exons. The record is from RefSeq and is a predicted model, not a curated record. Lineage: Eukaryota; Metazoa; Chordata; Actinopteri; Pleuronectiformes; Pleuronectidae.